GACGAACGCUGGCGGCGUGCCUAAUACAUGCAAGUCGAACGCAGUGGGGACGGGUGAGUAACACGUGGGUAACCUCCCAUCAGAGGGGAUAACACUUGGAAACAGGUGCUAAACCGAUACUGAUGGAUGGACCCGGGGUGCAUUAGCUAGUUGGUGGGGUAACGGUUCACCAAGGCCACGAUGCAUAGCCGGCCUGAGAGGGUGACCGGCCACACUGGAACUGAGACACGGCCCAGACUCCUACGGGAGGCAGCAGUAGGGAAUCUUCGGCAAUGGGCGAAAGUCUGAUCGAGCAAUGCCGCGUGUGUGAAGAAGGUUUUCGGAUCGUAAAACUCUGUUGUUAGAGAAGCGUUAUCUAACCAGAAAGCCACGGCUAACUACGUGCCAGCAGCCGCGGUAAUUC
Molecule: ribosomal RNA, 403 nt
Filed under: uncultured bacterium
Lineage: Bacteria
Description: partial 16S ribosomal RNA
Rfam family: Bacterial small subunit ribosomal RNA
Source: RNAcentral